MicroRNA precursor from Brassica oleracea var. oleracea, 124 nucleotides. It matches the Rfam family "MIR9563 microRNA precursor family". Lineage: Eukaryota; Viridiplantae; Streptophyta; Magnoliopsida; Brassicales; Brassicaceae. The record is from Rfam.
GGAAGUUAAGAAACUGUUUCUUAAUUUUAACUAAAAAAGAUUAGAACCGGUUCUUAAAUAAGGAUUUUAAGAACUGGUUCUUAGUUUUUUUAAUUAAAAGUUAGGAAACAAUUUCUUAACUUCC